RNAcentral lists this unclassified non-coding RNA (435 nucleotides) under Drosophila virilis. Its description in RNAcentral is "GJ24188". The record is from RNAcentral. Lineage: Eukaryota; Metazoa; Arthropoda; Insecta; Diptera; Drosophilidae.
AUUUAGUUACAAAUUUUAUUCUGUAAAAGUAAAAUUUCUCAAAUGGGCCACAAUUUGCUAGUCGCUCUUGCUGCCCCACUUGACAUGCCGUCCAACUGCCACACAGUUCCAACGGGAUCAUGUGCCAUGGGCCGAACGUACGCGACGAGAGAAAAUAGUUAUCAUCCUGUUCUACGGCGUAAUGCUGGCCCUGGUUGUCAAUAUUGUGGGCUGGAUAGCGUUCAUCUGUGUCUUUAUGCAUCCAGGCAUACAUGCGCCGCAGCGCACCAAAGAGCCAACCAGCAACAAUAAGCAGGUUACAAUAAGCGCCUUGAGCCAGGCGAUAAGCCCGAACACUUAGUUCACUUACCCGUCGAGCAGGACACUUUCCAGGUGGAGGCGCACAAAGGCGACUAUCGAUUUUAACACACGCGUCACUGGGUCACAUAGCGCCCG